This 32591-nucleotide long non-coding RNA is filed under the name Setaria italica (foxtail millet). RNAcentral's name for it is "long non-coding RNA (SITA_LNC006306)". The record is from RNAcentral. Lineage: Eukaryota; Viridiplantae; Streptophyta; Magnoliopsida; Poales; Poaceae.
UGCAACAGCACAGUCUACCCCUAUGUUUACAACCUGACUUCCUCCUACAUCGACCAGAACAAUGAGGCCACCAUGGUGACCACCACCUUGGCCAUGUUCAUGCUGGCCGUGUUCUUCUUCAACCUCAACCUCUUCAGCCGCUUCUCCGACGUGAGCGCGAUUCUCAACCCUAGCGUCCGCCUCUUCCUCUCCACCUCCCUGUCCCUCUUCCUGCCGGUCAUGUCCUACCUCUUCUCCGAGGCCAAGAACCAAGGUGCAACGACCAUGGCUGCUACUACUAGCAGUAGCUCCAGUUAUGGCGAGCUCGGCGACGAGCUGUCGCUUCGAGCUAGGACGAUCCUCAUGUGGAUGCUUCUUGUGGAGCUCCUCCGCAAGAAGGUGGAGGCCGUCCUGGUCAGCGUGGGCAUGCAGUGGUACUCAGGCGCCAUCGAUCGCUUCGCCCGCAUCGUUUGGCUCGGCUACCUCGUCUUCUACAAUGUCAAAAGCCCCGGCAAGAAGGCGAUCUAUGGCACCUUAUGGGUCCUCACUGCUGCCAAGUUCCUGCAAAGGGUCGUCGUCAAGAUGGUGCUGGAGCGUUCCUUCGCCUACGGAAGGAACACCCAGCUGCUCAACUCAUACAUGGCCCAGAUCAUCCAACAAGAGCAAGAGCAAGAGCAAGAGGAGCACUCGGGAUCAUCGUCGUCGGCGGAGCUGUUGAAGAAGUGCGAGUACACCGUGAUGGGAGAAGAAAAUCUGGAGAGGACGGCUGGCCGGCAUGGCUACCAGGUGGAGCUGAACAAGGCGGCCGUUGUCACCGUUGGUGACAUUUGGACGCAGGCAGCAGCCGAGCCGGACAGCCUCCUCCGGAGAGAACACCUUAGAAGGCUCUGCCUCUCCUUUGCUCUCUACAAGCUGCUGCGCCGGAGGUUCGAGGACAUCCCCACAACAAGAGAGGAGACCCGGAACUGCCGGAACCUCAUCUUCAAGGGCUUGUUGAAGGAGCAAGAAGGUGCCGAGGUCGCACUGUUCCAAGUCUUCAACGAUGAGACCCAGUUCGUUUGCGAGUACUACCAUUCCGUCCUACCCGUCGUCUUGUCCGACCCUUUCUUCUUCCUGGUCAACUACAUCCUGUUUCCCAUUGUAGUUUCUGCCUUCUGCCUCCUAACACUGAUCAUCUGCGGCAAUGGGAGCGUCCGCUACGCCUACCAGAGCAUCACAAGUGACAACUACAUCAUAUACACUGGCGCGACGACGCUGACCAGAUGCCUCCUGAGAAACAUCGCCCAUUCACCCGAGGUGCUGUUCGCCAGCAUCGACCUAGGCACCACCACUCUGCUCAUCCUGGCCUUCGUCUACGAGGAAGUCGUGGAGGUCCUCGUCUUUAUCCUCUCCAAUUGGCUCAUCGUGUCGCUCCUCUGUCAGUACACCGCCAAGCGCCACUGGCGGCAGAGCCGCAUGGUAUGUUGGCUCAUCCGCGGCAUCCUGUGGGUGCGAAGCAUGCUAAGCCACCCUAACCUCAGCUUCAAGCAGCUCUCCGUGCUAAGGUUCUUCCAACUGUCGUCGCCUUCGCCGAUCAUGGUGCCAACCAAGGCAGUGCCCAAGGAAGUGAUGGAGUCGAUCGUGGAUUAUCUGGUGGUUCACUUGGAUGUCUACGGCAUCGAUGGCCAUGACGACCCUCUCAAUUCGGCCUGGUCCUCCACACUGCAACAGGAGAAGCACAGGGCAUACCGUCCCCUGCUCUUGCCGGUGUGUGAGAGCAAGAGCAUCGCUGAGUUCAUCCUCACCUGUCACAUUGCCACCGCCCUAAUGGAGGUGAGGUACCCGCAGGACGAAAAGGAAAUGGGAUCUCAUCGCAAGGUGGCGACGACGCUGUCCAAGUACUGCACUUACUUGGUGGGCUUUUACCCAGGGCUUCUUCCGGACGACAAGAAUGGGACAAAGCACACUUACAAGAAGAUGAAGGAGGACAUGAACAAGGAGCUUGGAGGGUGCUGGUGGUACCACCUGUCGCUGCAGGGAACCAGGUACAAGAGGCUGAUGGAGAUCGGCGAAUCGAAGCAGAAGGCCGUGACAAUGGUGCGCAACGGGGCCAGGUUAGGGACAGCACUGAUCGAGAAGGCCGAGGAGAACAACGAGGCGCGUGAUCGCGUGUGGGAGCUGCUGAACGACCUUUGGACGGAGGUCAUGGUGUAUGUGGCGCCGUCGGCCGGCGACCUCCACGUGAAAGCCCACAAGGAGGCGCUGGCGCGCGGCGGUGAGUUCAUCACCGUGCUUUGGGUGCUGUGUACGCACACCGGCAUGACCAGGCCAGCCCUCGCACCGUGGGAGGUAGCACGUCAUGCGUUUGAACCAUAGAGCAUUAUUGGCUUCCCGUGUGUGCCGAUCUUUCGAGGACAGCUUGCUUGGGAUGGUUCAUCUCACAUGCUCCAUUCCGCUACUAACGCUAACAUUAGUACCGCGUCAUAAUGUGACCGGUACUAAGGGAGUGGACGAAAGAUAUAUUAAAAAUAGAUAUAUAGCCACCCGUUGUGAAUGCAUGGGUUGAUGCCAGUAAUUCCUAGAAAACGAGGCCAACCACAACCUCUUCAUCCACUUCUCCGACGUGAGCGCACAAUUCUCAACACUAGUAAGAAACAGAGCUUUAGUCCCGGUUUUUUAGUCCCGGUUGGUAAGGAUCAUAGAUCCCAAAAAUCCAAUCGAGACUAACUAUUCAAGGCUAAAUGACUCCUUUAGUCCCGGGUCAUUCACCUGGGACUAAAGGUGCCCUUUAGUUCCGGUUGGUGUUACCAAGCGAGACUAAAAAAAUUCCAAAAAAAAUAAAAAAAGCCAUCCGCGCCCGCCGCCCGCCUGCCUCCCACGGCCGCGCUGGCCUCAUGCUGCCCGCCCGCGCCCACGCCGACCACGUGCUACGACCCGCCCGCACCCACCCGACCGACCGCCCGCGUCGGAGCAUGGAAGAAAGGGAGAGGAGGAAGAAGAAGAGAUAAGGUGGAGAGGCCCUGCGUGGGAGAUAAGAAAGGGAGGGGAGGAGAUAAGUGGAGAGAAAGGGAGGCGACGAGAUUUUGUCUUGGUUGGAAUUUCCAACCGCGACAAAAGAUUUACUUCCGGUUGGAAUUUCCAACCGGGAUAAGGGUGGCGUCGAUGUCAGAUUUUUUAGCUGUUAGAACCAAGCCUACAACCGUGACUAAAGCCCCUUCAGUCGGUGGCCUUUGGUGCCUCAUACCUGGGACUAAAGUCACUUUAGUUCCGAGUCCAAAGUCAACCAAGAUAAAAGCAUCAAGAUGGAAGGUCAGUUCUCUAGUAUUGCAAGCCUAGUGUCUGCCACCUCCUCUCCACCAACAUGUCCCUCUUUCUGCAUGUAACACUUUCACACAUGCAUGUAACUUGAUUAAUCUUCUCAUGCGUGUUCACAACAAACGCAUGGAUGAAAAACAUGUCAAGAUUAAUUUCCAACACUUUUUUCUUCUAUAGAUAGUUUCCACUAAGUGGUUCACCACAUAAUAAAAUUUAGAUACUUGUCUCUGCAUAUCAUCGAUCAAUGUUGUUAGAGGGAUACAACAUUAUCAUUGUGUACAUCAUAUCAAUGACCGAACUUCAACUAUUAUAGAUACUGUUAUACUGUUAGCAAUGCAUAUAUCUCAAAUAUUAUUGCUUCUCUUUAAUUAGCUAAAGAAUAGGAUGCUAGAAUGAAAACGUCAAAAGAAAAAACAUAAUGAUGAAGGCAUCAGGUCCUCUCUUUUGGGGGCCAAGAUUCCUGCUGAUAUUGAUAACAAAAGAAGGAUACCAUGGGUUCUCUCCCAUUUGGAACUAUAUGUGACAAAAGUUAUGCCAGUACCUUAAAUGCUAAGGCUUGCUCAUCUUUUGAAUUUUUGUUCUUUGGCGGCCCCUGUCAUUUGAGCCUUUUGAUAAAGUAAAGGAGAGGAGAAUAAGCGCUAAAGGAAAGACCAACUGCUAUGGUGUUACCCGAACACCAUUGGCGGCAUCUUUCGAUUUACAGUACAUGCAGGCACGCCAAUACUCUCCUUCAAUCGUGUGCUUGCAGAACCUAUGAAAACGAUGCUCAUGCUUUGCAAGGGCACGGAAAUUUCGACUCAGAACGUGUCCAGAGGAAAUGGGCCCACUCGUAUGAUUCAUGGGAACAUGAACAAACAGAGACGUUCAGAUUCAGAAGUAUGGAAUUUGCAAGUCCCCGCAACCCACCGCCCCCACGUUGCUCCCGCAUGAGUGACACUGGUGGACGAAACCCUCGCCGCUGCCGCCCCUUCCUCCCUCUCCCCACCGCUGUGCCACCGCCCAAGCCGGCCGCUGAAAGCCUACGCGUCUCAUGAGGACGGCGGCGGUGGGGCGGCCUGCUUCUCCCCUUGAUCUCCUGGUGGGCGUGGCCGCUGUGGAGGUCAGAGGGAGUCGCCCGUAGGGCGACACACGGCCGUGACAGCGAGGCCGGAUCCGGGGCCCCUGUGGCCGGAUCCGGGGCCCUCGAUGCCGGAUCUGUCUCCAAGUGCGGUGGCGGUGGCUUCCCCCACGCGGGGCAGUGGUCACCCUGCCCGGUGCGGAAGCUGCACGAGCGGUGUGCGCCAGGGUGGAUGCCGCGCGGUGGCGGCUGCGUGGGCCAAGGCUGAGCAAGGGGCGAAGUGGGCGGCCGCGGUCCUAUGGCAAGGUGGGGUCAACGUGCAGGCCUCCUUCGAUGACUACCUCCAGGACCGCACCAUGUUCCCCGACGAGAGCAAGAGCCAGCGGAUCAGUGAUGGGGAGUGGCGGGUCCAGAUGCUGCUGCUGCAAUUCCUCCUCGUCACAGUGCGCCCUGUGGUCAUCAUGCAGCUGCAACACCGCACUGGUGGGCUCGACCCCAGUGGCGACAUCUGCAGUCCUCGGCGGUGAGCUCCUAGGGAGCGGUGACAGUGUGAAGGCGACAACGGCGAUCUGGGUGGUGCGGCGGUGGUCCCGAUGCGAGGCAAAGAAGGCACAUGGUAGCAGGGGCCGCUAGGAGGUGGGGACACGGAGGAGGCGCCGAAGGACAAGACGAGGAGGAGGUGUCGGGCAUACACCUCAGGGCCACGAGUAGGCCUUGUACGGCCCACCCAGGGGCGUACUCGGACAUGAGCAGGAGUUGGAAGCUAUGUCACAGGGUAACGUAGCCUACACGGACUACUGAAGACUAGUCUUGGUGCAUAAGGAAACUACUCUACCUAGUUGGAGUAGGACUCUGUAAUCAUAAUCGACUAGGAUUCCACCCUGUAACCCUGCUCCCCCGAUAUAUAAGGGUAGGCAGGGACCCCCUCCAAAGAACCAACUCAUACGCAAUACAAACAUCACACAAGACGUAGGGUAUUACGCGUUCUAGCGGCCCAAACCUGUCUAAAUCGUGUGCCUUGCAUCACCAUCAACUCCUUGAUUCUCGACGUCUCCACCACACAAAAUACCUCCUAGAGGACUCCCUAAGCGGGUUGCCGGUCUAAAACACCAACAGCUGGCGCACCAGGUAGGGGAAGUCGCCGAGUUUCUUAGCGCGAGAUCGAUGGCACCAAUUGUCAUCAAGCCAGCGCUCGCUUUCAAAGCAGGCGCAACUUUCAUCUUCGACUCCUGGCUUUGCAUCACCAACGGCGCCGGAUCCUUCCAGUGCUACCUCAUCGACAACCGGGAGAAAGAGCAUCUCAACGAAAACCCUCUUCGUAAAGAAGCAGACAGCCUCAUCGAGAAAAUCGACAAAUUCAAUCUCAGAUCAAGAUUCGACUACAACUCGAAGUCCAACGACGACUCCGAGUUCGACUACAACUCGAAGUCUGACUAUGACUCCAUUUUUAGUUUCGAGUUCAACCCCAACUUGGGGUCCAACUACAACUCCAAAUCAUAUCCAGGUCAAACUCCAUUCGGACUCCACAACGCAGCCACGGUCCAUCACUCCUUACUCGAAUCCAAUUCGGACUAGAGUCGAAGGAAGACUAUGCUACGACUCGGAUACACCCGAAGAGUUCAUCAGCAACUGCCACAGCUUCGUCGAUGACGACUUCCACGGGCGGCUCGCCGGUGACUUCUCCGACUACGUCGCGGCGCUCACUUAUGACUAUGGGCGGCUUGCUAACAAUUUCUUGGACUAUGUCAUGGUACUCGCCGACGACUACUUCAACAGGUGGCUCACCGGUGACUUCUCUGACUACGUCGUGGUGCUCACUGAUGAGUACGGGCGGCUCACCGACAAUUUCUCAGACUACGUCAUGGCACUCACCGACGACUACUUCGCUUGGCGACACACCGACGAAAACUUUGUCUGCUCACUGACGACUUCUCCGACUACGACACAGCGCUGGCUGACGACUAUGGGCGGCUCGCCGAUGAUUUCUCGGACUACAUCGUGGCACUCGACGACGGCUACUUCGACGGACGGCUCCCCGACGACUAAUCCGACUUUGCGACGUCCCUCGGCGACCCACCGAUGACUACUUCAACUUCGCGCGGGCGCUCGACAACUCGUUGAUGGCUACUUCGCUCGGCGCACACCAACGAAUACUUCGACUGCUCACCGACGACUUCUUCGACUACGUUGCGAUGCUCGUCAACGACUACUUCGACGGGUGACUCGCUAGUGACUACGUCGACUACUUGUCCCGACUAGAAAACUAGUCGGGGCAGAUUUCGCACCAUCAACGACUGGUCGGAACCGACUCCGACUAGUCAGCUUCGUCAACAACCGUCAUGGUUUCAUUGACGACCACCUUGGCUUCAUCGACAAUCAUCGACGAAUCAAGCUAAGUCUCUUUUCUGACAAUUUCCUAGCUUGAUUUCCUCUUGCGCACAAUACGCGCUCUACUCGCUAGAGGGCAGCAAACUCUCGCGCACAACACGCACUCUACUCACCGGAGGGCAGCAAAACUCUUGUGCAAUCGUGCUUGCUUUUUGUCGCAGCAGCGACUACUCACUUUUGUCUUCUCUUAAGAUCACUACUCUUCUCAAGAUGAACUUGCCUUGACACGUGAACGCCUCAGGUGCACCUGUGACGCCAAAUGCUAGCACACAUACACGAGACCACGCUCUUAGUUGUGCACAUAGCAAUGCCCAUACAUGUAUAUGAGACAACGCUCUCACACAUGCAAUGGCUACGGCUAAAUGGGGACUAAGAGCCUAAACGUAAUAGGCUAAAUGCUCGAGAAGAAUAUGAUCAAAAUAAGAGCAUGACACACAAUAUUUCAUAUUGAUCACUGAAUAACUUUCAGUAGUUUCAAUAUUCUACAAAAAUGCUACAUAUUGUACGCAUCUUUUCUUUCAAGUCAAACUUUGGCGAUGACGCUCGUCGUGUCACUAAGCAUGCCUCUAACGGCAUAGACUAGUUCCCGAACUCGGGGACUAAGCACCAAUCACUACUCGGGAUAUCUCUAGUGACUCAGCUAGCUCCUAGGCUCGGGGGCUAGACGCCGCAAAACUACUCGAUGUGGCUCCUACGGCUCGCCCAGCGCAUAAGCUCGGGGGCUGGAUGCCGCAAAACUACUCGGAUGAUGACUUACGCAGAGAUUCAAGAUCCUUGAGAUGAUUAUUCAAUCAAUUCAAGGCUCGAGGGCUGAUAAGCUACACCCAUCAGUUGAUUUUUUGUCAAGCCGGAAGAAAAAGUUUCAAGAUUUUGACCCUCAGCCUGAUUCUACGAGUCAACCUAAGGCUCAGGGGCUCCUCCAUAUGGAGUGUGAUUGUCAUCGCACUAUCAUAUAAAGAUUCAAGACAAAGGCUACUUGAAGCAACGUUACGCAAAGCAGAGAGUACCUUCCAGCCAUGUGACAGUACUCGGUUACUCGAAGGCUAGCCACCACGAGAAGCGCUCAAAAAGCACCAGAUAGUACUCGGGCAACCUCUUCAAGUACUCUGAGCUGUUCCACUCGACUACAAAGUACUCGGGGGCUUGUCAGGCAUACAUCCCCAGCCCCACGAGUAGGCCUUGUACGGCCCACCUAGGGGCAUAGUCGGACGUGAUCAAUACUUGGAGGCUACGUCAUAGGGUAACAUAGCCUAAACGGACUCCUGAAGACUAGUCACGGUGCAUAAGGAAACUAUUCUACCCAGUUGGAGUAAGACUCUGUAAUCGUACUCGACGAGGAUUCCACCCUGUAACUCUGCUCCCCCGAUAUAUAAAGGCGGACAGGGACCCCUUCCAAAGAACCAACUCAUAAGCAAUACAAGCAUCAUACAGGAUGUAGGGUAUUACGCGAUCUAGCGGCCCAAACCUAUCUAAAUCGUGUGCCUUACGUGACCAUCGACUUCUUGAUUCUCGACAUCCCCACCGCACAAAAGACCUCAUAGGGGACUCCCUAGGUGGGUUAUCAGUCUAAAACACCGAUAGGAGGUGCGAUGGACAAUAGUGACCCAUCUAGAAGAGCUGCAUGGAGAGGAUGCCGGUGCAGAGGACGGCAACGUGGAGAUGGUCGUGCAAGCGAUGAGGAGCGGAGCGGCGGCUCGAAUGCCACGAGGCCAUUCUGGUGCCGCGGGAACCACUCACAUGCUGACGUUGUGGUGGUGUGAGGAUCUACGCUGGUGGUAGUGGGGGCCAUUGUCGCAGAAAGCUUUGUGUUUGCGCACAUGGUACAACUGAGAUUAUGACGGCGGCAAGGUGGAGGUGAAGUUAUUAGAGUAGCUCGGUGGGACCAUGUCACCCUGAUGGAAAAUCAUGUCUGGAUCCUUGGUAUGGAGUCCAGCGGUGGAAGUGGUGAGAUCCCCGUUUGCUUUAAGGUGAUGUGUACGAGGAGUUGUGUGUGGCGGUGAAUGUGGCUAGAACCCCACACAUUUUGAGUUGCCUUGGAGGGCCAGGAUCCGGUGCAGUGUUUUGAUGGUUGGUGUGUACGGUGCGAUAGCAGUGCUUCGGCGUUGGGUCCUGCAGUGCGGUGGUCGUUUCAGUGUGGUGCAGUGUGCUCCUCCUUUGACUUAUGCUAAUACAAAGCCGUGGAUUGGGAGAUCGAUGACCGUGUGUGUGUGACCUGAGGACGACGACGACAUGGUAGAGAAGCCCUAGUAGCUACACGACUUGCAGCGGACUGCGACGGCCAGUCCUACGUGGCUUCGGCUGGUUUGGCUGGGACAUCGUCGGGGACGAUGGCGCUAGCGAUGAGGGCUACUUGGCGGCUUUUCCUGCUCAGUGGUGGUGGCAUGGUGGUCGCUGCUAGCUCAAGCGUUAGCGUUGAGUGGCUUUGCGUCGACGACCACCCAUAGAGUUCUUUUUUUGUUUUGAGUUGAGUCGGCAUUAUCUGUUGGGAGCUACUUCGGUGGCUCUGUUGUUAUACCCAGUCUAGGAUCUUUCUUCUUUUUAAAUAAUCGACAGCUCUCCUGCCUGGUUUGUUUGAAAAAAAUUCAAAAAUACGGUUGGAUGUAAGAUUAACGAGUUAAUCUUCAUGUAGCAUGUACAUAGACAUGUAACCAAGAAACACAAACUUUUUUACAACGGAACUCAAGUGUAUUUGAGUUGUACAGGCAGAGAUAUGACUAUAGAAAUUGGGGAAGCAGCACUUUGCAUGUAAUAUAGGGUUGAAUAAAUCACCUCUACCGUGGUUUAUACGUCAGUACUGUACAACAAAACCUGGCCACCAUCCCUAAAUUACAUGAUAAAAACUCUAUCAUCUACAACCAACAACUCUAGGUACGGUAGUUGUACACAUUACACGAUAUUGGUACGUAUGUUUAACUUGACCUGAAUGCAUAUGUUUAACCUUGGAGAAGAUAGUCCGAUUCAACCCUUAGAAAUCCUUUAAGAGAUGUGUCCAUGUUAAUCUUGCUACUACUAAUUGGAGAUACCGGAGGAUUCUCAAGUUAAGACGCAUGGGCGGCCGUGCUAGAAAAAAUAAGAUCUCAAAAACUCAUGAAAACAGAAAUUGCACCUCAUCACAAGGUGGACACGGUGCCCUACUGCAGCCCAAGCAACUACUACACUUGCAUUGGUGUUCUUUUCAGACAGUGCUCGCUGCAGGACAAAACGCUGACAGAGAUUUGUUGUUGCCAUUCUAGAAUCGUUUUAGCUGUGGCUUCGUUUCAUUCAGGAUUAAUUUGCAAAAAAAAUGUAUUUUCAGUGGAAAAUAAUGUAACCAGAUUGGCUCGAUUGCCCCAGAAAGAUAUAAUAACUCCAUGCAGUAACAUAUACAUGGUCAUACUUUAAUUAUUGUGCGUACAGUUGUACUACAGCAAGGCAUAUAUCUUAGCUGUCUCUUCGCUUUAACUAAAGAAUUGGAUGCUAGGAUGAAAGAUCCAUGGUUUGGGGCCACUAUUACUAGCUUUCUGCUGAUAUUGAUAACGAACGUAGGAUGGCAUGGGUUCCCUCCCUUUCUACAAAUGGGAGAGAACCCUGGUAUCCUUCUUUCGCUAUCAAUAUCAGCAGGAAUCUUGGCCCCAAAAGAGAGGACCUAAUGCCUUCAUCAUUAUGUUUUUCUUUUGACGCUUUCAUUCUAGCAUCGAUCCUAUUCUUUAGCUAAAGCGAAGCAAUAUUUGAGAUAUAUGCAUUGCUACAGUAUCUAUAAUAAUUGAAGUUCGAUCGUUGAUGUACACAGUAAUGUUAUAUUCCUCUAACAACAUUGAUCGAUGAUAUGCAGAGACAAGUAUCUAAAUUUUAGCUCCAAGUAAGUUUUAACCAAAAGUUUAUCUUAAGGGGUUCCACGACCCAAAUCUGUACUCCCCUAAAAAUAAACUUCAAUGGUAGUCCGACGGACUAUAGGGCCACCUGAUUAAACCUAUGAUUAACGACCAACAUAUCUAUCACUUACUCUCACUAUUUCCUUAUUAUUUGGUGAACCGCUUAGUGGAAACAAUCUAUAGAAGAAAAAUGUGUUGGAAACUAAUCUUGACAUGUUUUUCAUCCAUGCGUUAGUUGUGAACGCGCAUGAGAAGAUUAAUCAAGCUACAUGCAUGUGUGAAAGGGUUACAUGCAUGUGUGUGAAUGCAGUGCAUGCAUGCGCGUAUGGAGAAGACUAGGAUCUGCAUGCAUAUGGAAGCUUAGGGAGUUAUGUGUUACUCAAAGAGUCUCUAGACAAUGUGAAUCGAACGUGUCUUGGUACACUGGUAGAAAACUGAGUAUUAGUCCCAGUUGGAACGUUGCAAAUCUCCCAAAAAACCAUCCGGGAUAAAGCAAUCGAGAUAAAAGGGGGUGUCUUUUAUCCCAGGUCCCUCAACCGGGACUAAAGACACCCUUUAGUCCCAGUUGGUAAUACCAACCAGGACUAAAUGGUUUUGCAAAAAAAAUUAAAAAAUAAAUAAAUUCCUGUGGGGUCCUAGGGAGGCCUCCCCGCGACAAGCCACAAGUCAUGCGAUUUUCACGCGAAAUAUGCGCAUGCGCGGCUCGUGGGAUUCGAACCCACGACCUCAAGCCUCGCGCGUAGCUUCCUUGCCAUCCAACCUACACAUCAUAUCUAACUAUAUAGGGGAUCCAAUCCUUUUAUACUAACUUGUGGGGAACCCUUUAAUCCCGGUUGGAGAUACCAAACGGGAUAAAAGACCCCCUUUUAUCCCGGUUUGCAUUACAAACUGAGAUAAAAGGGUCUGGAACAUUUAUUCCUUCCCCGGAGCACAUGUGGGGGACCAUUUUAUCCCAGUUGGAAACACCAACCGGGAUAAAAGACCCUAUUUUAUUCCGGUUGGUAUUACAAACCGGGAUAAAAGGGUCCGAGGCCUUUAGUUCCUUUUCAGCCACCCGUGAGGGACCCUUUUAUCCCGGUUGGAGUUUCCAACCGGGAUAAAAGACCCCAUUUUAUCCCGUUGGUGUUGUGAGCUUUAGUCCCGGAUGAUAACACCAACCGGGAUUAAAAGGGUGACCUUUAGUCCUGGUUAUUCUUACCAUCCGGGACAAAAGGGUCCCCCACAGGUAGCUAAUUUUUUCACCCGGGACUAAAGGGUCCCCCACGGGUGGCUGAUUUUUGAACUGGGACAAAAGGUAACUUUUAGUUCCGGUUGCAAAUACCAACCGGGAGUAAAGCUCUGCGAACGCCCUUUUGUACCAGCCUUCUUUAAACCGGGAUUAAAAGGAAGCGCAUCGAAAGUUAGUUCUCUACUAAUGGUAGUGUGAAACCCGGUAGUUCCUCAGCUUCUCCUGCUUCGAAUCUGAACUCCCCUCCCCGUGCUGACAGAAAAAGGGGUAUUUAUACCCUAGAGACGCCAUGGUAUAAAAGAGAAGUGGGCGAGGUGAAAGCCCAUGCCGAUCGGCCUAGGUGGGUCCAAGCCGAUCGACCUGGCCCUUCCUUUCAUCCCCAAUUGCUCAAUGGAAACUCUCAUUUCAUCAAGUCUCUCAAAGCCUAUGCUAGAACAUUGUCAACCUAUUCUACUUACAAACAAGUGGUAGGCUUAUCUGGAUCUUGGUAGGUAGAAACAGUCCUUGCAAAGUAUAAUAGUCAGAAUAUUAUCAAAUUAGGAAACACUUCUAUUGGGUUGUCAAAAAGGUCAUGGAGAAAUAGUUGCUUAUAGAGAGAGAAUGGAACACACACUUUUUUAGAUGGCGGACAUGUGCAAGGGAAAAUAGGUGAUCCCGAGACACAAAUGAAGUUAUUGUUAUCGAGUUGCAUAUGGUUAGAAAAUUUUAGUGUUAACCCUGCUCUUAAUCAUAUGUAACAAGACAUGGCACUCCAUUUAGAUGUUCAAUUAAUAUUCUAGCUUAUUAUUAUGGAGGAUAGACAUUUUUCAAUGAUGAACAAGCCACAAAGAAUUUAGAACAAUGCUCUCAAAUUUAAAUCAACUUCAGAACUUUUCUUUCAAUGGAGCAUAAUUUUCAAACAGGACUAGAUCAACAUCAGCAACAGAAUUCUUGCAAUUGCUCAAUGGAAACUCUCAGCUCAUCAAAUCUCUCAGAGCCUAUGCUAGAACAUUGUCAACCUAUUCUACUCAUAUAAACAAGUGGUAGGCUUAUCCGGAUCUUGGUAGGUAGAAACAGUCCUUGCAAAGUAUAAUAGUCAGAAUAUUAUCAAAUUAGGAAAUACUUCUAUUGGGUUGUCAAAAAGGUCAUGGAGAAAUAGUUGCUUAUGGAGAGGGAGAGACUGGAACACACACUUUUUUAGAAUGUUGACAUGUGCAAGGGCAAAUAGGUGAUCCCGAGACACAAGUGAAGUUCUUGUUAUCUAGUUGCACAUGGUUGGAAAAUGAGUAUGGAUUUACCUUUAGGGGACUGGGAAAUUUAUGAAGCUCAAAGAACUAUUGAGAAUUUUUAUUAUCAUCUUUCUUUUUGCUCUUUUUCUUCUUUUUCUCAUCUCAUUUUUAAUUUUAUUUUUUAAUUUUUUUCUUUUGCUUCCUUAGAACUUUUUGCAACAUAAUACUUACUUAGCAGUGGUCAGAGAUAACGCGAUGACUCCAACCCCCAUGCUUGAACGAUGCUCGUCCUCGAGUAUGAAAGAGAGAACUAUUGUGACCCUUUUGAGAUUCAUUUGAUGCUUUCAUGAUCAAGAUCACCUGCACUCCACCUAUAUAUGCUAAACUCCUACACUAGUAGUUCACAACAAUUAUCACCCAUCCAUUCCACAAAAUAAAUACUCCACUACAUAUGUUGAUUUCUCUCAAGUUAUCAUUACAAAAGAAACAUGGGCUAUUGAAAAAGAGAGGGACACAUGAAGGUCCCAGUAUAGAAAAAAAUAUGAACACAUGAAGGUCCAAGUAUUAAAAAAAUGAAGAAAAAAAGGAGUCGGACACAUGAAGGUCCAAGUAUGUGAAUAAAGUGGAAGAUAGCCAUGUUCUCAAUAUUAAAUAUGUCCAAAGGGAGAGAGAUUAUAUAAAAUGGAGUUUCCAUACAUUCCCUAUCCACCACCCACAUAUUCACACACAUGCACAUCUUGAUCUGAUUGUAUGACUUGUUUUCUCCUUAAAUCCGGUUUUUGAAUUUGCAAUAUAUGUAAUACAAGUAUGCUUUAUUUUCAUCCCCUACCUUGAGCUCCACAAAAAGCUUUAUUAGAAGUAGGAAGGAAAAGAGGCAAACAAAUGCCUCGGUAAGGAACCAUACACAUUGAGCGAUCUGAGAUAAUCAUUCGAGGAGCAAGUCUAUGCUUUGUUCUGAGAAUAUUUCAAAAACCUAAGAUAUCUGAGUACGAGAAGUUUGUUACUUCUCUUCUUCCUUUUUAUAUAUGUGCUCUUUUAUUGUACACAAUACUAAGCUAUACUACUGUUCAAAAAGGACUAGUAUACAAAUAUUUGACGGUUAAGAUUAAUUGUAUACUACUGAAACCUUCACCUGUGGUAUGGGUAGUAUACAUGACUAGUAUAAGGGUAUUAUGGUAAAAGAACACAAAUGAUAUCACUAAAAUUUUAUUUUUGACACUAGCAUAAAGUUUAAAAUGCCAUUUCAUUUGAAAUAUCACUUUUCACAUGUAAUAAUUACUAAAUCAUGAAUAUUUAUAUCUUAUAUAUACUUAUAUACUACUAAGUAGUAUAAGCAGCAGGGGAUUACCCCUCGUGUUCCUAAAGAUAAAAUAGAUUACAACUCCAGCGGACGUGCUACAAUUCUUCAGGGCGCCGUGCCUGCCCUGAAAAAUUCCUGAAUGAGGGACGAUUUGCCGAUGAAUACUGCUGAAAUCAACAAGCUGGCCAAGAGCCUUAAAAAGUGGUUGAAUGUUGAAAGCUAAAGUAAGCAAAGCGCACUUGAUCAGUCCAACACACAACUUCCACAAAUUAAACAUGAGCUAGCACGAAGCAGUUCAUCACGAGAUCGACACACGACUGUGCGGACAUGAAGUUGUUGAUGCAUGCGGUCUCUGAUCAUCACGUACCAGCAGGCGGUGAUUUACCAUUACCGCCUGCCACUGCUGGCGGAGGAGACGGUGCCGGCGGAGUGCUCCCCCAUGAGACCGGGUACUCCAGUUCUUCUUCCGUCUUGCAAGGGACCUUGCCGCCGUCCGGGGUGCUUGCAUCGCUACGGAGGAAGGUAACCGGCCAGCAGUAAUAGGUCUUGUUGAUGAUCUUCUCCGAGUGAGCACGCUUGUAGCUGGUCUCCACCACCACCAUCACGGGGAAGCUGCGGUGGUGCCUGUCGGAGAGGUAGUGCACCGACGCGUAUUGUCCUUGCCUGUAGAGGCUUACCCACCUCCUGUACCUGUGCGAGCUGUGCGGCUGCAGGUCGAAGAUGACGUUCGUCUCCGGCUGGUACCAUAAGAACUGCACCAUCUCCGUGAAGGAAGCAUUGGGGUUGUCUAUGACCCUGAUGAUGCUGAUGUUGCACUGGAUCUGGCCGCGGCCGCUGGGGUUGAGGGCGUCGACGAUGAUCAGCAUCGGCACCUCUCCCGCUGGCGAGUACACAGACGUGGUGUUGUCGUAAAUCCACCACCAUUGUUGUGUCUGGACAUAGCCGUAGCUCUGGAGGUCCAUCUCCACGGGGCGGUUGACGAAGACGAUCACCAUCACCACCACCGCGACGGCGAGCACGGAGACCACGACGGCCACCAGUGAGCGCACCGUGGCUAGGAAGGGGAAUGUAGUGUUCUGGCCAGCGCGGCAUGUUGCCAUUUUUUCUCACGUAGGUAGCUAGGGCGGUGGAUGAUGGACUUGUCCGCUAGGGACCUGCAGCCAUAUAUACACAUAAAUUACUGACCGAAUGUUCAUUCCCUUUUUUUGGUUAGAUGACUCAGAUUAGUCUACCGGUUAACAGGGGGCUUGGCUAACAAUUAGGCUGCCUAUUAACCUCCUGUUAGGAUCAGCCAUGGCAAAGUUUUGACGGUUAACGAUCUCCCUAUAUAUCUAAACAAGUUCUUAGGUCAUGUUCCGUUCUUUAGGAGCUCCUAAAAUUCAUGUCACAUUCGAUGUGACAUGAAUUUUAGUCUGGACUAAAGAACCAAACACCCCAUUACUCCCCUCCCCCUCCCACCUCCCACACCAAUGUUCAAAAUUUUGGCCGAAAUUUCAUGAAAUUUGAUCUUUUGGUAGUGACCGAAAUUACUAUUUGCCCGAAAUUUCGGUAUGUCAACCGAAAGAUGCACUUUUUGCACCAAAUUUCACAUGAAAUUUCAUGAAAUUAGGUGUUUUCGAUGGGGACUGAAACUUUUCUGAAAACAAAAUCCCAAUCCCUGCCCCACACCGUCCAAGUAGAAUUAGGACACACUCUUUAUACAGUGAUAAUUCAGGCUUCUGCCAACCACAGGAACCGGAGUUGUUUAAUUUUUUGGCAAAAUGUCGUGCAGAUGCUUACAUACAAAGCAUUCGUACAUGCACCAAUUAUGAGUACUUCUGCAACACCGUGUCAUUAUGCUUUCAAUAUCUGGUCUUUAAAAACCUUAGAUUUACCUAUGAUGACUUGGUUAAUUAAUCUCAAGAUCAUCUGCUACCUAGAGUUUUGGUGGCACUGGAUCAUAGGGCACAGUUGUAUGUGUAUUCAUCAGAAUGAGUGCAUGUGCAUCUAUAUGAUGUCCGUGUUUUUUUUAAAAAAAUAAACCUGCGCAGGUCAUGAUGCUUCCACUAUCCUGUCUUAUCUGUUUGGAUACCAGGGGCUAUACUUUAGCUCCUGUCAUAUCAGAUGUUUGAUACUAAUUAGAAGUAUUAAAUAUUGACUAAUCACAAAACUAAUUGCACAGAUGGAGGCUAAUUCGCGAGACGAAUCUAUUGAGCCUAAUUAGUCCAUAAUUUGACAAUAAGGUGCUACAGUAACCAUUUGUUAAUGAUAGAUUAAUUAGGCUACGUCUCGCGAGUUGGUCCAGAAUUUGUGCAAUUAGAUUUAAAAUUAGCUCAUGUUUAAUUCUCCUAAUUAGCAUCAAAACAUUAACUGUGACAAGGGCUAAACUUUAGCCAAGGACAACCAAGCAACAUGCACGCCUAUAUAUGCUCUUUGAUCAGAAAAGGAAAGAAAUAUUCCCAAAAAAAAGGAAUAUGUGCUGCGGUCCAUACACGUUCUUUGAAGAAAUAUUCCAUACUUAUUUUAUGUCAUUGUAGAAGGACUUUGAAUAAGGUUCGAUGGAGUCACGUGGCUGCGUCUGCUGGCAGCUGAUCGAUGAGUCAUAUUACUAUUGGACUUGUGUUUUGGAUGCUUAUGUUUUGGAUUACAUUCAGAAUGUACGGGCAGGGGCGAAGCCACGUAUAAGAUUUUUAUUUACCACUAAUUAGACUCAAAAUUACCAUAUAAUCCUAGCUUGUAAAUUAAAAUUUACAAGUCUCUUGAGCAGUGCACCACGGUCAAUUCAGCGCUAGCUUCGCCCCUUUGUACGGGGAUUAUGCAACCCAGAAACGACGACUAAGAGCCUCAUUUCCGGACAUGCGUCCCUAUGAUCCUUUAUAUACUCCAAAUGUCUGAGUGGCCGGCUCAUACUUGCCAUGGCGAUGUCUAUCCCUCCUCUCAAAGGAUGGAGCAGCAAGCUCCUUGUAGUUGCGGCCAUGAUAGGAACCCUGGUCGUGGUCGCCAUCGCCGCCGUCAUCAUCGUCGGCCUCACUCCGCCACUGGUCUUCUUCUCCAUCCAAGAUGCAAGCCUCCAAGGCGGGCAGUUGAAACAGCAAAAAUUCUACAACUUCACCCUCUAUGCCAACAACACCAGCCGGCGCAUGGAGGUGCACUAUACCAACCUCAACACCGAGAUCUGGAUAGCCCCGUCUGAGUGGUACCCGGCCGAGGUGAGCAUGAGCGGGUUCGAGCAGCCACCGGUGAGCAUCAACGGGUACAAGCAGCCACCGGACAACGUGACCAAGGUCGCCGGGUGGGCCGAGUUCUAUCAGACGACGUCGUUGACGGCGGCGGCGCAGGGCGGCGGCGCGGGGAAUUGGCCAAACUGCACUGUGGUGGUGAUGGCCAAGGUGUUGUUCAAGGUCGGGCUGGCACGCACACGGCCGUACCACAUCAGGGUGUUCUGCUUCCCCGUCAACUUCCUCAAUACGACUCGGUACGCCAAUUGUACAUACUGAUCUCGAUCGACGUGUAUGCAUGCAUCCAUGUUGUUGAACGUGUACAUGACUGUUGUGACGUGCUCCUUUACCAUAGCUUCAGAUCCUGACUUGUAGCAUUGACAGAGUAUGCGUCUAUUAUGGCAGAGAGCCUCUUGUACAUGUAUUUAACUCAAUCCAGAGAUCAAUAAUGAAAGGAUGCGGUUUUUUUUUAGGAAACAGGAGGGGAAGUACCCCUGCUGAUUAUAUAUUAAUAUAUAGUUGACAGUACACUAGUGAUACAAACCUUGUUUAUGACACAAAGAAAGAAACAAAAAAGAUUAAGAAAAUUACAGUGAAUGCUCUAACCAUUGAACCAUUGAUUGUUUCCAAGACUCUCUGACACGAAAUACUACCAAACUGAAAAUCUGUUUGAACCGUUCCUUUGCAGCUUGAUAAGCUGGCACUAGGGCCUUUGAAGAUGCAGUCAUUGCGUGUCAUCCAAAUACUCCAGCUCAUAAUUACGAUAAUUUCCAUAAAGAAAGGCACUUGCAACUGGUUCCAGCUCAUAAUUACGAUAAUUUCCAUAAAGAAAGGCACUUGCAACUGGUUCCAGAAGCUAACGAGAAUAUCAUAAGGUUGUUGCUGCAAAUCCACAAAGAGGCCGAGAUUGAUCCAACACUCCUGUGCGAAUGGACAAUCUAGUAAUAGAUGAAAGAGGGUUUCUUCCUUGUUGUGGUUCCAGAGGACGCAGUUAUAGGAAGGGAGAGCCAUCUGCUUUCGUUUAAGCUCCACUGGCGGCAGAGCCGCAUCCUGUGUCGGCUCAUCCGCGGCAUCCUGUGGGUGCGAAGCAUGCUAAGCCACCCUAACCUCUGCUUCAAGCAGCUCUCCGUGCUAGGGUUCUUCCAACUGUCGUCGCCUUCGCCGUUCAUGGUGCCAACCAAGGCAGUGCCCAAGGAGGUAAUUAAAGAUUUCUUCAUCGGUAAUGUCGCGCGGUUCUUGGUUUCAAGUACUGCCUGUAUUUUUUUAUUUUUUAUUUUUGCCUUGUCAUUUGGUCCGUCAGAACUAAGUUUGUCGAAUUCCUUCUGAAUAAGCUUGAGACGCUGGUCGUGCUUGUUUGUUGGUGUGCCUACGUGCCGCGUAGUUGUCGUAGCAAAUACUUUCGGUUCCAUAUCGCCUGUGACUGGACCGGGAUGUUCUUCAAUCUGUUAUGGCCCUGUAUUCUGUUUUUAUAUGGAUCCCACAUAUAAUCAAUUUCCAACAUUUGCUUUCCUCUGUACAUUCAGCAUGUUGUCUUUUUUUUUUUUUUGAAGCGCAUUCAGCAUGUUUCGCAGAUGUUUGGAAGGAUGAUCCAAAUUCUGAAUGCACAGACCCUGUUGGGAAAUUGAUUUCCCCACUGCGUGUCUGUGUUUACAUGCAUCUUCUAACUGUGGUUCCAAUGGCCCGUCUAGGCCCAUACAGGCCUAUCAGGUGGAUGGGCCGGCCGGCCUCCUGGAUCAACAAGACCGGUAUCCCUUCUUGGCCCGUCCGCCCCCGCUGUAGAAACAAAACCAGAACCAGCAGAUCCCCCGGGCCCUGAAGAGAAAGACGAUGGCAACAGAAGAAAGAGCUCGCGACGAAGCCGGCGAAAGCCCCCCAAACCCUCCCCAGCCCAGGCAGCGGCGGCGCGACGAGAUGGCCGACGACCCCACCGCCGGCGGCGGGAACACCGUCGAGGACGUCGUCCGCGCGGAGGUGAGCAUCCCCGGCCGGCCCUCGUCCUCUUUGCUGCGAGUGCCGGGGAAUCCGAUCUCCGCCCGGGCCGACCUGGCUCUGCUCGGCUGCCUCCCGAUCUGCCCGCGCGGGUGGCGGCGCCUCGCCCCUAGUUCGGUUUCGGGUUAGAGGUGUCCCAGCGUGGUGUCUGGGCGGGGGGAAUCCGGCGACGAGGCGUUCUCCCUCCCGUUGGCUCGGUUGGCGCGGACGGACGCGGUGGGCCUGGUUGGGGAAAUCUGUGCCCGUUUCGAUUUGGGUGUAGAAUAGGUAUACGUCUUCAAAAUUGAUAGAAUUAGGCCCGUUUAUAAAAAAUUGAUAGAAUCUGCCUGCAAGGCGCGGUUUCCCAGCUGGCCCGUCCUCAUUUACUAAUCCCCACCAAGCUUAGCAUCUUUCCUUUCGAUGAAAUAAAAAAAUGUUAAUGUCAACAGCUCCUCGAUUACCGCAUAGAUUAACACCUCUUUAGCCUUUGUGGCACGGCACCUAAUACUUUCCUCACCUUUGCAGUGCCGUGGGCCCGCCACUUCCCUUCUGGCCCACAAGUCAUGGAGGCGCGCGAGGAGGGGUAUCGGUUUCACGAUGAUUAAUCAAGAAAGGCCCAAGACACGUCACGCUGGGGGUGGGGGAGGGAAGACACCGCACCGCAUGCACCUGCAUGCACCUUUGCCUUUGCUUUUCCCCGGCGUCCUAGGGACCUCGAGCUCGCCCGCCUAGGAGCUCCAGCAGCCGGGCCGCUCCGCCGCCGGUGCGGCAACCACGCCGCCGUCAGACCACCUCGCGCGGCCACCCCGCGCCGGUGCGCCGUGCGCGGCGGUGCUGUCCCGCCGCUCCUCCGCCUACCGUCCUCCUGCGCCACCACCAGCUAGCGCACCGGCAGCACCGCGAGCUGCCGCGCCGCCCCGACGACGUUGGUCAUUCCGGAGCCCGGUGUCGUCACCAGCGUCGCCGGAGAAGGUAAUUACCUGAAGCAAUUUGUAGAAACGAAUAGUACUGGUUCGUUCACUUAUUUCAUUGCUCAAACUUAAUUUCUGCUUAUUAGAGUUUGUGCCUUGUCGUGAGACUAAAUUAGCUGCUUAUUCUGCAGGUUGCAUUCAGGAGAUCGAGCUGCCGGAUCGGAGGAGGUCAUAUCAGCCGUGUUGGUUGUGCACUUGUGUUGCUGCCGGCGGAGAAGGAACCAUGGUGAUCGGGCCACUGAUCUCCAUAAUGUAGUUGAACUAAAAUAAUCCCCUUCUGAGUUUAGCAUCUUUCCUUUGGAUGAAAUAAAAAAUUGUUAUUCCGGAUCCGUAAUCUCAACUGCUCCUCCAUUACACAUAGCAUCUUUCCUUGAGUUUAGCAUAUUAUUUCAACAUUUCAAAACUCUAGAUUCAACAUUUCUUGAAACUUAGUGCAACAUUUUAGAUAAAUCGAUUCAACAUUUAGCAUAGUAUUGUUGAAAAUGUUGAGCUAGUAUAUGUUAUUUCAACAUUUCUGCAAAGCUAGCUCAACAUUGAGGUAAUGUAGUUCAACAUUUUGUGUAGUAUUGUUAAAAUAGUGUAUCUAAAAUGUUGAGCUAAUACACAAAAAGUGUUGAGCUAGUAUAUAUUAUUUAAACAUUUCAAAAGUCUAGAUUCAACAUUUAUGGAAACCACAUUUUAGAUAAACUGGUUCAAUAUUUUGCAUAGCAUUGUUGAAAUAGUGUACCUUAAACGUUGAGCUAAAUAUAUAAAAAUGUUGAGCUAAUAUAUCUAAAAUGAUGAAACUAAGAAAAUAAAAAUGAAAAAAAUAUAUACAGUCAUGUGGGAUCUUAAUCCGUUAGAAAAAUUUCGAAAAGGCUCAUAGUUUAAUCGGAAUUAAAAUUAAAUGCACCGUUAGAGAGAUAAGUAAGUUGAAAAGUUCGAAAUCAAAACUCACAUCACCCAACAAGUAGCUGAAACCUAUCCGUCCUUUCAGCAGCUCCACCCACCUCGCACCAGCAUACUAGCACAUGGUGGUCCCCAGCCACCUCGAUGCCGUUGCGUCGAAGGAGAGGGCGGAACCGACGAGGGUCGCCGGCGGCUCCCACCCCGGCCGAACGCGUCCUGACCGACUCCGGCAGGGGGCGGCAGGGCCUCCCGCAGGUGAGCGCUUCCAUCCGUGGUCCGCAGCAGUAAUGUCUGAUUUUUCGCUUUCUUCUCCAGAAUUCGUCGCAUAUACUUAUAUGUCAUCGUCCUCUUAUUUUUCGCUUUCUUCUCCAGAAUUCGUCACAUAUACAAAGCUUUCACGAUUUCGAUGAGAGAUUUGGUCAUGUUUGUGGCCACGGAGACACAGUCUAGCUAGCGUAGUGAAAAGUGGCACUAGUGAUUGCAAUACGCACGGAAAUUGGUUUUUUGUCUGUUCUUUCUCCAUCUCAAUCAUCAAUCAAAUGGGGGUAGUCGUCGGUACGCCGGGUGGGCCGAGUUGGCCAAACUGCACAGUGGUGGUGGCAGCCAAGGUGUUGUUCAAGGUCGGGCUGGCACGCACACGGCCGUACCAUAUCAGGGUGUGUCCUGCUUCCCCGUCAACUUGGGGAGGUGGGCCAAGCGACAGCUAGCUGUGGUGUGGUGGGCAUCCAGCAGGCGCGCAGGGCCCAGCCGUGGCCGUGAUUAUGCGCCGGGGUGAGAGAAGAAGACACGGCACCUAAUACUUUCCUCACCUUUGCAGUGCCGUGGGCCCACCACUUCCCUUCUGGCCCACAUGUCAUGGAGACACGUCAGGCUGUGGUGGACAAGGGAAGACACCGCACCGCACGCACCUCCACCACUUGCCUUGCCUUUGCCUUCGCUUUUCCCACUUGUGCUGUGGGAAGACACCGCAUACACCUCCAGCUCGAGCUCGCCCGCCUAGCUAGGAGCUCCAGCAUCCGGUCCGCUCCGCCGCCGGUGCAGCAACCACGCCGCCGUCAGACCGCCUCGCGCGGCCACCGGUCGUCCCCGCGAUACACCGCCGCCGGUGCGCCGUGCGCGGCGGCGCUGUCCCGCCGCUCCUCCGCCUACCGUCCGCCUGCGCCACCACCAGCGCACCGGCAGCACCGCGAGCUGCUGCGCCGCCCCGACGUUGGUCCUUCCUGAGCCCGGUGUCGUCACCAGCGUCGCGGAGAAGCUAAUUACCUGGAGCAAUUUGUAGAAACAAAUAGUACUGGUUCGUUCACUUAUUUCUUUGCUGAAACUUAAUUUCUGCUUAGAGUUUGUGCCUAAAUUAGCUGCUUAUUCUGCUGGUUGCACGCAGGAGAUCGAGCUACGGGCGUACGGCCGGAUCGGAGGAGGACAUAUCAGCCGGGUUCCUGUUGGUUGUGUACUUGUGUUCCUGCCGGCAGAGAAGCAACCAUGGCCGAGUUACUGAUCGGGCCACUGAUCUCCAUGGUGAAGGAGAAGGCAUCCAGCUACCUGCUGGACCAAUACAAGGUGAUGGAAGGCAUGGAGGAGCAGCGCAAGACCCUGGAGCGCAUGCUGCCAGCAAUCCUGCAAAUCAUCCAGGAUGCGGAGGAGAAAGGAGCCUCCCGAUCUAAAGUUGCAGUUUGGCUUAAAGACCUCAAGACAGCGGCCUAUGAGGCCAACGACGUCUUUGAUGAGUUCAAGUACGAGGCGCUUCGGCGAGAAGCCAAGAAGAAGGGCCACCAAAGCAAGCUUGGAGCGGAGGUAGCAAGACUCCUAGUCCCCGCUCGUAAUUCCAUUGUAUUCCGUUACAGGAUGGGCAAGAAGCUAAGCAGGAUUGUGCAGACCAUCGAGGCCCUGGUCACCGAGAUGAAUAAAUUUGGUUUCAGACACUUGCAGCAAGCACAGCCAUCAAGGCAGUGGCGACAGACAGAUUCCAUAAUCAUUGACUCCGACACAGAUAUUCUUAGCAGAUCUAGAGAUCGGGAGAAGAAGAAAAUCGUGGGGAUGCUCCUUGAUCAAGCUAGCAACAUGGAUCUCAUGGUUCUUCCAAUUGUUGGGAUGGGUGGGAUGGGCAAGUCCACCUUUGUGCAACUCAUUUACAAUGACCCUGCAAUCGAGAAGCACUUUGAGCUUCGGAGGUGGUGCUGCGUGUCAGAUGAUUUCGAUGUCAGUACCAUUGCAAGCAACAUCUGCCAGACCAAUGAGAAAUAUCGUGAAAAAUCAUUGCAGGAGCUCCAGAGUACAAUAAGUGGAAAAAGAUACCUCAUUGUGUUAGAUGAUGUAUGGAAUCGGGAUGCUGAUAAGUGGGGAAAACUAAAGACCUGCCUUAAGCAGGGUGGCAAGGGCAGUGCGGUACUAACAACAACUCGUGAUGCAGAAGUGGCUCGCAUUAUGACCAUGGGUGUAGCUCAAGCCCAUAAUAUCGAGAAUCUGAGUGACGAGCAUUUAAAGGAAAUUGUCCAGAGCAGAGCAUUCAGCUUGCAAAAUCCAAAUAUGGAAGAGCAAGAUGGCAUUCUCAGUGGAUUUGUUCGUCGAUGCGUUGGAUCUCCCUUGGCUGCCAAAGCCUUUGGCUCUAUGUUGAGUAACAGGACUAGUGUAAAUGAAUGGAAGGAUGUAUUAGCUAAAAGUGACAUUUGUAGUGAGAAAACCGGAAUUUUACCGAUCCUCAAGCUCAGUUUUGAUGACCUAUCCUCAGAUAUGAAGCAGUGCUUUGCAUUUUGUGCUUUAUUUCCUAAAGAUUAUGAGAUUGAUGUGGACCUCUUGAUUCGACUGUGGAUGGCACAUGACUUCAUACCUGUGCAGGAGGAUGACAAUCUAGAAACCAUAGGAAAAUAUAUUUUUGAGGAGCUAACUCGGAGGUCAUUCUUUCAAGAUGUCAGGCAAACACUUCAAUUUGACUAUUUUGGAAGCAGGUUGUCGCUUCGUAAGUCAACCAUAUGCAAGAUACAUGAUCUCAUGCAUGACAUUGCUCUAUCUGUUCUGGGGAAAGAAUGUGUCACUAUAGUUGGUAAGCCGAGCGUCAACAAGCUGUUGCUAAAUCCGACCCGCCACGUCUUCUUAUCACUAUAUGGUUUCAAUCCUACUUUCUGGAAAGAACAGGUUACAAGUCUACUAGAUCAUCUAUUGAAGAAACAAACUGCAAUGCUCCAUACGUUGUUUAUCAAAGAUUAUGGUCAACCCCUUGAUAUAUCAAAGUACACUUCACUGCGAGCAUUACACCUUCCAGCAAAUGAAGAGCUAAGGUAUCCUAAUCUGUCGCCACAUGAACAGCUUACAAGACACAUACAACACCUAAGGUAUCUUAAUCUGUCAUCACAUUGGUUCGAGAAACUUCCUGAAGGUAUAAGCAUUAUGUAUCAUCUACAAACGUUGGACCUCUCUCAUUGCAAAUACCUUCGUCACCUUCCAAAGGAUAUGAAGUAUAUGGCAAACCUCCGACACCUCUAUACCCAUGGAUGCAUAUCAUUGACAUGCAUGCCUCCAGGACUUGGACAGAUCACUUCUCUGCAGACUCUAACAUAUUUUGUUAUUGGUGAUGGCUUGGGAUGUAGUACUAUUGGGGAACUUCAAAACUUAAACCUUGGUGGAGAGUUAGAGUUAAGUGGUCUGCAAAAUGUAACAGAAGUGCUUGCAAAAGCAGCCAGUCUUGAAAAUAAAGAGAGACUCACACACUUAUCUCUCGCGUGGAAUGAUGAUGCCCGUGAGAAACCAGAUUCUCAUAAUGAGGUGUUAGAUGCCCUUAAACCUCAUCACCGGCUAGAGAUGCUAAGAAUAAAGUCCUACAAAGGCACCAAAUUACCGUCAUGGAUAACAGAUCUUAGUCUGUUGCAGCACUUGACUGAGCUCCAACUGGUUGGUUGUAGGCUGUGCGAGGAAUUUCCUCAAUUCUGCCAUUUCAAAGCCCUUGAAGUUCUGUAUUUGAAAAAGUUGGACAAAUUGCAAAGCCUAUGCAGUCAUAUGGUGUCUACGCCAUUUCCAGCACUGAAGCAACUCCAGUUACAUGAUUUGGAGAGCUUGGAGAGAUGGGUCGCAACAGAAGGAAAAGAAGAUGAAUUAUCCUUUCCUGUACUUGAGGAGGUUGAAAUAGAGAACUGUCCAAAGUUGACUAGCCUACCUGAAGCACCAAAGCUCAAGGUUGUAAAGCUGGAUGAAGGCAAGCCGCUGCUCUCCUUAGGAAUAGUUAAAUCAAGGCACAUGUCUUCAAUUUCUAAGCUACUACUGCGUGUCCGUGACACAGAAGCACUGCCUCAGAUAGAUUAUAAUUGGGAUUCAUCACAGAAACUGGAACUAUCUUUGGGUGGCACAGAAGCCGCACCUCUGUCACAACUGAGCAUAUUUGGCUGCAACUUUUUAUUCGUAUCAAGCCACUCACAGCUAACACCUGGGGUCUGGAAAUGGUUUGAACAUCUUGCAGUUUUAACAAUUGCAAAAUGUGAUGUGCUCAUCUACUGGCCAGAAGAAGUGUUCCAAAGCUUGGUAUCUUUGAAGUACUUGUUCAUUUUCUCCUGCAACAAGCUAAUAGGGCCCACACAAGCGAAAGGUGACAAACCUACACAAACAACAGAUCAAGUCCUGCCACAUCUAAACAUGAUACGUAUACACAAUUGUGAAAGCAUGGCACAGCUCUUCAUUCUUCCCCCAUCUAUCAGAAUUAUUCAUAUUUUUGAGUGCCCUAAGCUUGAGUUCAUAUGGGGAAAAGAGGAGCAUCUUGACACAUAUGCAUCGCUGGAACAUUGCCGCGACCCUGCAUCCACCACUGGUAACCUAGAGCAAUCGCCGUCUCCAAUUAUUCGCCGUCCAUGCCUUGUAGAUCUAACUAUAAGAGGAUGUGAUAGCCUGGUAACACUUCCAAAUCUACCACCGUCCCUCAAGGAAUUAUUCAUCCGGAAGUGUGAGAAGCUCUGCUCUGUGUCAGGAGACCUGUGUGCACUCGAGACCCUACAGAUUGUUAACUGCAAUAAGUUACAGUCAGUCAAUUCCUUGGGAGACCACCCAUCAUUAGAAACACUGUUUCUUUCUGGCUGCCGAUGCCUUGCAUCUUUAGGAUGUGAUGGUGGUCGUGGGAGUUACUCUGCUCUUCAGUGCCGUGAGAUCGAAGACUGCCCAGCCAUAGAUAUGAAGCAGUUUUACUAACGCCAUCAAACAGCUGCUUGACAGCUUUGAAUAUGAAGACGUAUCACACGUUCAUUCAAGCAGCUCUGAUGAAGGUACGACCUUUCACUUUCCUCUUAUUCAAUUUGUUUCCUUCAAAUUUCCCUUCUUUGCAUGCCCUCCUAUUUUGUUGACGAUCUGGUUUAUAGAUGGGCUUGCGGGGUGGGAUUUUGGGGUUUCAUCUUCGUUCCGGCUUUUAGACGGUCCUUUCUCACUGACGUGACCCCACAUAUAUUUUAGUUUAUACGGCUAUUGGUUUUCAGUCUUCGAUGCAGUUGAAGUGCAUAGGGAAAUUCUGGAAACAUGUUCUAUCCCUUGGUGUUGAGAUCAGCUGAUGCGGAAUCACUGAAGUACUACUGAAACGAGAUCCUGAUCGGUCUCAGUUGUGGAGAGCAAUUUGUGAUGAAUGGAAGCAGUCCCAAGGCUUCAAGAACUCAUGGAGUCGUGCUGUACCAUUCUCCACUGCCAGGGCCUAAACUAGGUACAUGGAAGGCGCACAGGUUGGGAUAGUAAAAAACCAUACCUUUGUCUGUGUUAGAGCAACUCCAAGAGGCUGCUAAUCUUACCCCAAUACCUUUUUUAGGAAAAAAAAAGAGAAAAAAUGAACUCCAACAAUCCACCUAAACCUUCCCCAAUUUUUUAGCGACGCUAAAAAACAGCCUGCCAUCGCGUAUAUUUUAGCGUUGGCGUUCCUUCCCCAAUCCUGAUUCCCGCACACCCGCGCGUCCCUUCCGAUGGGCCCAAUACGAUGACGUGGCCUGUGUUUGAAAUAUUGGGGGCUAUUUAUUAGCGAUCUGUUGUGGACUGAUAUGCUUUUGGGGGAAAUUUUUUUUGGGAGAACCCCCAAUACAUAGUUUUGGGGAAGAAUUUUUUAGGAUACUCUUGGAGUUGCUCUUAGAGCAUCUUCAAGAGUCUGCCAAAAAACUCUUCCCCAAAACCACAUCAUCCCACAAUAGAUCCCUAAUAAUAAAUUUUCCAAUAUUUUAAAAUUUGCCACAUCAGCAUGCGUGGACCCUAAGCUGGGCUGCCCCCUUCCCCCGCUGGAGCGUUUUCGCGCUUUCGCACUGUGGCUGCCUGAGCAGGGGUUGGUCUGUGCUGAUUUGCUGAACCAUGCAUAUUAUAUGCACUGGGACUGUCAUGCCCUCAGAAAAGCAUCAUCAUCUACUGGUAUGACGUCAAUUCAGCCUCAAACUCUCAACACUGAAGGCCUUCGAGGACUAGGACUACGCCAGCGCCACCCAUUGAAUCCCAUCCCCAUCUCGGCCACGUGCCAUGCCAUGCCCAGCCGUGGGGCACUGGGCAGCCCACGUGCAGCCACUUGUGGCCACGGACGCCCAGCCAGACCAUCACCCCCAAGAGGAGGAACGCCUUAUCUUUUCACCAUGAGAAAGCAGAGUCUAACGGUCCGUGGGCAAUAGGAAAAUCAGCACCGGCGGACUCCUGUGUUCACCUUCAUAUUUUUCGUGGUCUAUAUUAUGCGAGUUAUAGCAGUCCUAGGGAAUUUGUUUGGUGUCUCGGAGUUGUCAUAUUCCUAUUAAUGAUUGUGACAGCUUUUAUAGGAUACGUACCACCUUGGGGUCAGAUGAGCUUUCGGGGAGCAACAGUAAUUACAAGCUUAGCUAGCGCCAUACCAGUAGUAGGAGAUACCAUAGUGACUUGGCUUUGGGGUGGUUUCUCCGUGGACAAGGCUCUUGGAGUUGCUCUUAAUCAAUUCUCAUUUAGCACUCUGUUGUUAACAUGUUACCCCCAUGCUUUUCAUUUUUUCUGUGCAGACAUGACCCAUUUAUCCUUAAAAGGCAUAAAGGAGGGCACUCACAUGUACGCACGACUGGCAACUGGAAGCUUCGUUGCAAGCCUCUGCUAACGACCAAGUUUGUUUUCACGCCACUAUACCAGCUGCUGGUAAUUCUCUUGUCACUAAUGUCAUCCUGUCAUCCAUCAAAGCCGUGGAGAAUAUGAUGCCACUCUGAGUCCUUCAGUUUGCCACGUGAGCCGAUGAAGCAGAAACAGAUGAUGAUGAUGGAUGAUAUAACUGCGGGGAUGCAGACUUGCUUUCAACGGUCGAAAUGGAGCUACAAAUGAUUAGUCGUAGUCGUGUGUGGUCCUUCCAUCACCUUGUGUUAUUGAUCCCGUUUGUAUGUGUUGCGUUCUCUAUAUCCCUCCAUAGCUUUUCAGUUGUUGUCUCUUUUACGACUAUUUUGAUUCCUCUUUUCCUUUUUAUUAAUAUAACACAAAAAUCCUCUUGCCAUGUUUUUGAAAAAACAAAAUCGUGAGGAUGCUGCUUCAUGAAGCUAGCAACAUGGAUCUCAUAUGGUUCUUCCGAUUGUUGGGAUUGGUGGGAUGGGCAAGACCACCUUUAAUUUGUGCAACUCAUUUAUGACCCUGAUCGUGAUGCAUUUUGAGCUUCAGAGGUGGUGCUGUGUGUCAGAUUCGAAAAUGUUUUUUGACUCUUUCAUCACCGCCUUCAGUAGCUCAUGCCGGUCAGGUCUUCUCCAGUGACCAGUUCCUUCACCUUGGUUGCGCACCCCCUCACCUGGGCUUGCAGCUAGGUCAUAGCCUUGGCAUUCCGCAUCAUCUCAGCCAUGGCAUAGUCUAGUGCUACGUAGGUUGUGUCCGUCCCGGCUUCAAACAUGUCCUUCAUGAACAUAUCCGUAGAACUCCAAUCAAAUUUAACCAAACUAGUCAUGAAACAUGUCAUAUGUACCUCUUGUGAGAAUUAAAUUGGAGGCUUAAAAUCCUUCAAUUAGUAACAGUAAGAAAUUAAUUAAAAUUUGGAGUUUUGUUGCAUACAAGUUGCCAGUCACCAGUACAGAAAUGACCUUUAGUCCUGGUUAGGAAACCUUGGGAAACCUCAAAGAGCUCGGUUUUCCCGACCGGGAUUAAGUAUUCGGGAUUUAGUCCUGUAACACCAUGUGCUUUGCCUUAUAAUGAAAGCCACUAAAAAUUCGAACUUCUAAAAUUUUCCUAUAAACUAAAAUGUGCCUUGCUAUUUCAUACCUCAAAACCCUUUCAAAAUAAAUUUUACAAAACAACCUUCAUCAAAAUUCACCAUAUGCAUUUUAUUGUGCUUGUUUGAGUGUUGUUUGCUUGUGUGCUUUGUUGAAUCUUUUGGUGGCAACCAACCCCUUGACCUCCUUUCCAAAUUUCCCACAAAUCCUUGUUAAACAUCCCUUCGAAUUCCUCAAAUCCAUUCAAACUCCAUUUCAAAUCUCUUCCAAAAUUAUUCAAACCAUUUCCUUGGGUGCAGGCUCAAUUUCCCUCUCCUCUCCUUUCGGCCUGGCGUGGCUUGCUUCUCCUUCUCCCUUUCAGCCCAGCUCGGCCCGCCCCUCCUCGCCUUCUUCUUUCCCGAGCAGGCCACCUCCUCCUCCUCCUUUACUUCCGCACGGCCCGGUCCAGCCCACAACGGCCGCCACCUCUCUCUUCCUCUCCGCACCAGCACCGCCCAUGAGAAUGGCCCGUGACGACCCGGCUCCCACUCCAUGUCAGCAUUGCGUCCGCACACAGCCGCUGAUGAGUAGGUCCCACUCAAUAGCGUCAUCCCCAACCUCGUGUCGUCUUCCCCAAUGCGUCUCGUUGCCGCCGCCUUGUCCCAUCUCCGCCCGUCGCCUAUGCCGUCGUGCCGGCCCCGAAGAAAUAUCUCGCCGCUCCAUCCCAUCAUGGCCCCACCUGUCAUCCCGCACGGUCCUAAAAGAUCUCCGCCGCCCGCUCCACGGACCUCUGUGCACAAUCGACCUCUCGCGGCUAUAAAAGCUGGCGAGCCCCGCCAUCGCUCCCCGCACCUCAAGCUCGAGCUCCCUCCCUCUUCUUCUGCUCGAGCUCGCCUCCUCCCUCUUUAGUCCUCUCCUCCCUCCACCGGAGCACGGCUUCCUCCGAAGCCACGCCUCGCCGAGCCCUGCCCUUCCCUCUUCCUGUCUAGCGCGCCACCGCACAGAACUGCCAGCCAAGCACUAGCGCCGCCACCGUGACAAACUCGAGGAGGACAAAGUGCCGAGCGACGUUGGAUCGGUAACAAGCGGCCCUGAUCUGCCUGAGCUAAUUCGCGUCCCACACCCGAUGACAAGUAGGCCCGAGUCUAACGCCGAAAAUGCCGUCUGUUGGUGACCAGUGGGCACCACAUCAGCAAGCAAGCUCCCAGACAUCACCAUGGCACUGGGAGGGUGCCUCGCAAGCACCACGCGGACACACCCGUAGCAAAUGACACGUCAUCAUGGGUCCACAUGUGAGUUACUGUGUGACACUGUGCGGUCAACAGUCAACACUGACCAGGGACACACCUGGAGUAACUGUGUCGACGGUAAAAUUACUACGCGUACUCAGGUUAGUGUACACGGAAGUCUCGUUUACCCCUUUCCUUGCACAAGCAAGCUCCCAGACAAAUUGUCACUCGCCAUGGCACUGGGAGGGUGCCUCGCAAGCGCCACGCGGACACACCCGUAGCAAAUGACACGUCAUCAUGGGCCCACAUGUGAGUUACUGUGUGACACUGUGCGGUCAAUAGUCAACACUGACCAGGGACACACCUGGAGUAACUGUGUCGACGGUAAAAUUACUACGCGUACUCAGGUUAGUGUACACGGAAGUCUCGUUUACCCCUUUCCUUGCACAGAAAAAUUUCCAAAAAAUUCCUAAAAAUACUAGAGCCACCCUAUAACCCAUCCAAACCUUUUGCACCCCAUUUCCAUCAUACAAAAUUAUGGGAAAAUAAAUUUCACCACUCAGGCACUCAUAAAUUCCAAUAAAUCACAUAAAUUCCCGAUAAAUUCCCAAAAAUCAUCUCUCCUGUCAAACUCCGUUUCUGUCAAUUCUUCCACCAAAAUUCUUCUAAAAUUAAAUCCUUGAUAUCCCUUCCGGUGCCACCAUUAGUUUCUUUGUUUGAUUCUUGAUUUGUUCAUGUAUUGCUCUUCGACCUGUUAGUCACUAACAUCACACAAACCCCUUAUGCUCAUGCAUGCAUAUACACUGUAGCAUGUAUACAACUAUAUGAGUAUACAUACACCCCCCUUCACACACCUACCACCGAUACUUUUUUUAUUUUUGUUUUUGCAAAAAAAAAAUCAAAACUAUUUAGUCCCAGUUGGUAAUACCAACAGGGACUAAAAGGGGCGGGAGGUAGCCACUGGCGCCGUGAUCGUUUUCUUCCGGUUGGUAUUACCAACUGGGACUAAAAGGGGAUAUUAUAUCCCGGUUUUGGGACCCGUGAUAAAAGACCCCCCUAUCUCGACAAGUUAAUCCUAGAUGCAUUUUCGGAAGAUAUGCACCCUACAAACCGGUACUAAUACCGAAUUUUCUAAUAGUGAAUGGUGCCGGUAGGCGUCCCCUUCAGCUGCAUUCUCUUCCAACCUGCAUACAAAGAGUCACUGGAGAUAGCGUGAUACAACCUCGGUUAGUCAGGCGAUCAAAUGAUAUAACCUCGAGUUAAUCUAGGCCGAAGCCAAUUAGCUUCCGUGUUUCUAUCUGAAGCUGGCAGAGUUAGCGCCUUGUCUGGGCGAGCUAAGACCCGGGUUAUAGGCGAAGGGGAUGAGUUUUGGACAGAUCCCCAACAUCUCGAAAAAUUAAUCUCGGUUGGGCAUUGGAGAGUUAUGCUCCUUCCCAACCGGGACUAAUAGUCAGUUUUCUACUACUGGUUGUGUAGAGGUGAGGAGGCGAGGGUUUUAGGUGAGGACGAUGAGGUGGCACCGCUCCCUUUCUCCGAUUCAACUGUCUCUAUAAAAUUGAUAUGGUUAGAUAUGUCAUAUUCUGUGGUACCACCUCGCGAUCACGAUGUGUGUGCCUCUAUAUAUGUUGUGCCAUUGCAGUCCAUUCGAUCGAGGGAGUACCAUAGCGUGACUGAACUACUGAAAAUGAAAAGCCUACACUUCUGCAACAACACAGUCUACCCCUAUGUUUACAACCUGACUUCCUCCUACAUCGACCAGAACAAUGAGGCCACCAUGGUGACCACCACCUUGGUCAUGUUUAUGCUGGCCGUGUUCGUCUUCAACCUCAACCUCUUCAGCCGCUUCUUGGACGUGAGCGCGAUUCUCAACCCUAGCGUCCGCCUCUUCCUCUCCACCUCCCUGUCCCUCUUCCUGCCGGUCAUGU